RNAcentral lists this unclassified non-coding RNA (306 nucleotides) under plant metagenome. Its description in RNAcentral is "partial contains 5.8S ribosomal RNA, internal transcribed spacer 2, and large subunit ribosomal RNA". The stretch from base 1 to 106 matches the Rfam family "5.8S ribosomal RNA", at positions 49 to 154 of the family's 154-position model. The record is from RNAcentral.
CGAAAUGCGAUAAGUAAUGUGAAUUGCAGAAUUCAGUGAAUCAUCGAAUCUUUGAACGCACAUUGCGCCCGCCAGUAUUCUGGCGGGCAUGCCUGUUCGAGCGUCAUUUCAACCAUCAAGCCCCCGGCUUGUGUUGGGGACCUGCGGCUGCCCGCAGGCCCUGAAAAACAGUGGCGGGCUCGCUGUCACACCGAGCGUAGUAGCAUACAUUCUCGCUCAGGGCGUGCUGCGGGUUCCGGCCGUUAAACGACCUUCAUAACCCAAGGUUGACCUCGGAUCAGGUAGGAAGAUCCGCUGAACUUAAGC